Molecule: ribosomal RNA, 492 nt
Filed under: uncultured bacterium
Lineage: Bacteria
Description: partial 16S ribosomal RNA
Rfam family: Bacterial small subunit ribosomal RNA
Source: RNAcentral
AGUGAACGCUGGCGGUAGGCCUAACACAUGCAAGUCGAACGGCAGCACAGUAAGAGCUUGCUCUUACGGGUGGCGAGUGGCGGACGGGUGAGGAAUACAUCGGAAUCUACUUUUUCGUGGGGGAUAACGUAGGGAAACUUACGCUAAUACCGCAUACGACCUACGGGUGAAAGCAGGGGAUCUUCGGACCUUGCGCAAUUGAAUGAGCCGAUGUCGGAUUAGCUAGUUGGCGGGGUAAAGGCCCACCAAGGCGACGAUCCGUAGCUGGUCUGAGAGGAUGAUCAGCCACACUGGAACUGAGACACGGUCCAGACUCCUACGGGAGGCAGCAGUGGGGAAUAUUGGACAAUGGGCGCAAGCCUGAUCCAGCCAUACCGCGUGGGUGAAGAAGGCCUUCGGGUUGUAAAGCCCUUUUGUUGGGAAAGAAAAGCAGCAGGUUAAUACCCCGCUGUUCUGACGGUACCCAAAGAAUAGGCACCGGCUAACUUCGUG